This is a long non-coding RNA of Ailuropoda melanoleuca (giant panda), 488 nucleotides long. RefSeq lists it as uncharacterized. NCBI's taxonomy places the organism in Eukaryota, Metazoa, Chordata, Mammalia, Carnivora, Ursidae. The transcript has 3 exons. The record is from RefSeq and is a predicted model, not a curated record.
CUUUACUCGAAUUGGGGCAGAGGAGAGGUAGCAUUUUCGUUUAGCAACGAUGCAAGCAAUUUCAGCGCGGCCCCUGGUCUGAAGCUCGCGACGGGGAGGUCACAGUUCCCGCAGGACCAGGAUCAUACUGGAAGAUUUGCUCCAAUAAAAUGAAGAAGUAAUAAAAAAAAAAAAAGAGGAAGAUAUGGGGUCCAGGAAACGGGAUCAAAUCAAGGACGCAAGGGGAGCUGCUGGAUGACAAGACAUGAUCACGGGACAGGAAAGACAAAUAACAGAGAAAACCAGUAAUCUGUUCCAAAGAGCAAUUUCCAAGGUAUGACAUCAAGGGAAUUUGGAUUCCGUCUUCGGCAUUUAUCUGCAUUUUAAUCACUGAUUGCUGAUGAAGGCAACUUAAUGCUUGAUCACCAGUAUAGAUGAUUGCUCUCACCUUUUUAGUGUGUUUAUGUAAUCGCAGAAACAUGCAAAGUUGCUUAUUUCAUAGAUCUAUA